RNAcentral lists this transfer RNA (75 nucleotides) under bacterium. RNAcentral's name for it is "tRNA-Gly". It matches the Rfam family "tRNA". From Rfam's summary of the family: Transfer RNA (tRNA) molecules are approximately 80 nucleotides in length. Their secondary structure includes four short double-helical elements and three loops (D, anti-codon, and T loops). The record is from RNAcentral.
GCAUCUGUAGUUAAAUGGUUAUAAUGAAAGUUUUCCAAACUUUAGUUCACAGUUCGAUUCUGUGUAGGUGCACCA